This 444-nucleotide ribosomal RNA is filed under the name Coptotermes formosanus (Formosan subterranean termite). RNAcentral describes it as "partial 16S ribosomal RNA". It matches the Rfam family "Bacterial large subunit ribosomal RNA", at positions 1852 to 2541 of the family's 2925-position model. The record is from RNAcentral. Lineage: Eukaryota; Metazoa; Arthropoda; Insecta; Blattodea; Rhinotermitidae.
GUAUGGCCUGCCCGCUGACAUUUGGUGUUGAAGGGCCGCGGUAUUUUGACCGUGCAAAGGUAGCAUAAUCAUUAGUUCUUUAAUUGUGAUCUGGAAUGAAUGGCUUGACGAGGCACGGGCUGUCUUAGUGUUGAAUGUUUUAUUGAAUUUGGUCUUUGAGUUAAAAUUCUUAGAUGUUUUUGUGGGACGAGAAGACCCUAUAGAGUUUGACAUUUGGUUUAUUUACUUGUUUGUUGUUUGUUUAUUUUUGGUGAGUGGGCUUUUUGUUUUGUUGGGGUGAUGGGAGGAAUGUACUUAACUCCUCUUAGUUUUGGUUAUAUUGAUUUAUAAUUAUUUGAUCCAGUUAUUUUGAUUGUAAGACUAAAUUACCUUAGGGAUAACAGCGUUAUCUUCCUUGAGAGUUCUUAUCGGCAGGGGGGUUUGCGACCUCGAUGUUGGAUUAAG